UGUGGGAACCCUGCAGCAGAUGCUGCUGGCCAGCCUGUGGGCUCAGGGCCAUUGGAAAUGCCAGUGCUCUUCCUUUUACACUGGGAUUCCUCUGAGCUUCUCUGGAGGAUGGGACUUGGGCUUUGCACAGGGAUCUAUCCCAGUUUUUCUAACAAAUUGCAAACAGGACCAGCAGUUUUGUGCAAGACUCUCAGUGCUGCUGAUAUGCAUUUCUACAGCUGCAAAAAAGCAAACAUAGUACAGGCAGGAAGAUGAAUGAACAAGCACUCGUCCAAAGGAAAGGCACAUCUUUCACCAGGGGUAAAUGAACCUCCAUUCCCAACAUGGCUUAUUUCUCCUCUCCCAUCACAAAAAGCAAGGUGAUACUUGGGUUAAGGCUGAGAAUUCUCAGGAGCCCCUUUCCCCUCCUGCAGUGAUCAGUUAGGAGAUCAGUGCUGGUUUCUAGGGACACCAUACACAACCCACAACAGCAGUUCCUCAGUUUGGGGCAGAAAAACUCCCUCUUGCAGACUCCUCAGCCCAGAAACAUUCAAGAUGUGCUAAAGGGGCAGCAGGGACACUGAUCCAAACCCUUCCUCAGAGCAAGGGCAGGGCAGGAGAGAACGAAAGCAACAGGUUUCUGGGCACCUGCCUCUGAUGUGACCUUCCCUGGGAGAGCAUGACCCCGGCAGCUCUGCCCUCCGGACGGGAAGAUGCCUCCCACCCCGGGAGGAAGGCACAGCUGGACUCCAACCAUCAAUCACGUUCCACCGGGAAGGGCUUGUAUGGCUUGUGGGAUUCCUGGUGGGGUGACUUUUUUUCAAAGCCUCCUGCAAUAACAGCAACCGUUGCUCAGCUUCCUUUCUAGAUAACCUUUUUCCUGCUGCCCAACAUGCUUAUCUGCUGCAGACAGGCUGGCAAGAUGAACCGGAAAGCUGAUACCUUAUCUCUGCCUCUCAAGGAGCCUAUUUAAGUGCUGGAAUGUGUUGAGAUGGUUAAUGAUUGUUAAAAUCCAAGUGAGGAACAUGGACCUCAGGACAGGUCCUGCUGGGAGGGAGCACUUAGUCAAAAAGGAGUCUUGAGGGACUACAGCCUUUCCAGGCUCUUCUUUUAUCUGCCAAAAGAUGCAUCACCUAAAAUGUAAAAUAUUUAUUUAAAACUAAAGGGUAUGGACUGAGUUUCUGGCUAAUCUGGGGGUUACCACUGCAGGCUGCUCCCAACUCAAUGAGGUUUGCUGUGUCCCUUGGAGAUGGUUUUAUCUGUUCCCAAUUUACUCACUGCAGGAAGUACACUGCCCUGCAAGGGAUGCAGUGUGUGAUUCCUCGCUCACCCUUUAAUCUGGCUGCUGGGGGAAGCAGCAAGAUGCUCACACAUUCAUAAAGGUAAAUAGGAUUGGAGAGCUAUCGGGCUAAUUGAAAUGAACGGGGCUCAGCGGCUCAGGCAGCCUGAUACAAUGAAAUGAGACCUCUCUGGGGACACAGGAGUCAAGCAUAGCUUCAGCACUUCACUUAUUUCAGCCACUGCAAGUGGCAGCUACAGCAACAGCAAUUGCAGGCACUGGAUUUGAGCACUGUGACAAGAGAGGGGCCAGGGAACACCGGCGUGGCCGGGGUGAUGUCUGUAACAGCUGCUGGGGGUGGGUGAGAGGCUUAUUUUGGUCCUGACCUGGGUGAAAAAAUAGCUGUUGGAGAUGUUGCCAGCCUGAAACACUGCCAGCAAGAGCCAGAGUGCUCUCCUUCCCGAUAGGCAACUGUGUUCCAGCACACCCAGGGGUGGGUAGGAUGGGGACAGGGGAGCAGGGCCAGACAAACCUUGACACUGAUGA
Molecule: long non-coding RNA, 1804 nt
Organism: Passer domesticus (house sparrow)
Lineage: Eukaryota; Metazoa; Chordata; Aves; Passeriformes; Passeridae
Exons: 3
Source: RefSeq, a predicted model, not a curated record